RNAcentral lists this long non-coding RNA (1255 nucleotides) under Equus caballus (horse). RNAcentral describes it as "lncRNA (ENSECAG00000028311.3)". The record is from RNAcentral. Lineage: Eukaryota; Metazoa; Chordata; Mammalia; Perissodactyla; Equidae.
AUCUCGACAUGCACUUGAACUCACAGGUGAGACUGCCUUCCGUUCCCUUCUUGUGUUAUGGAGCGGCUCUCCGGCCAGCUCCGGCUGGGCAACUUGACUCUCCUGCAAAAAAUGGUCCUCAGGAGGGGCUACAGAGUUGGGGACAUCUCUGACACCCACUCUGGCCCCGUCUUGAAGGAAAUCACCAUUAUCAGCGUCUGCAAGAGCUCCUCAGCCGGCGCAUGUACUCCUCACACCAUCUCUACAGUGUAGGAACCACAUUCACAGUUCCAUGCAAGGAAAUGGAAGCUUCUAGAAACCAGGUGACUCACAAAGCCAGGAAGCAGUAGGGACGGCGUUCAAACCUGGGUUUGUCUGAAACCAAAGCCCAUGUUGCUUUCUCUGGAUUAGAACUACUCACAAUGGAAGCGUGGACUGGUUCUGGAAUAUUCCACCACCACCUGUGCUUCCACAGAAUAUCUGAUUUCCAGCUGAAAGAGCGACUCAUGUAAAAAGGAGGUGGUUGGGAAAGGGAACUUUUCUCUUCUCCACGUAGUUUUUAGAAGAAGCAUUCUUCCUCCGGAUCCCUGGAGCAGGUGGCCACUGCCUCCACCUCGGGAAAGUCGGAUUGGCACUGUUUCUCCAAGCGGGUGGACUGUUUUGGUGGAAGUUUGUGGUAAAACACUGCCCUCAUCUGGACUUCUGGGCAUCAUGCAAUGGGGUGGCUACAGAGGAUUCUCAGAAGAACAAAAGUGCGCCUGGGUUACGUGCCCAGAGACACAGUGAAAAGCUGCUCCUACUGUUCAUCAUGCGUACGCCUUACUCUUCGGACUGACUCCUCAGAAUGGAAGCAGAAAGACGUUUUGGAACUGGCUGAACAAUGAUUUCCUAUCCUUUCUUUUUUUCUUUUUUGAGGAAGAUUAGCCCUGAACUAACUGCUGCCAAUCCUCCUCUCCUCCUUGUGGAGGAAGACUGGCCCUGAGCUAACAUCCGUGCCCAUCUUCCUCCACUCUCAUCCUUUUUUACGGAGGUGGCUGAGUUCUGUGGACAGAAGUAGGUAAAAAUCUUUAACCACAGGACAGACUGAGUAAUCGAAGUAAUACACCUAAACCAUCAGACACAAAGAGCUCCAACGAACCCUGAAUAGCAAGAACUUCGCAUGUAUAAGAUGGAUGGAGAAAGAACAGAGUGACUAGAGGUCGGCAUUUGCGUUUUGGAGUCAAAUAGACUUCAUUUGGUUCUCUUCUCUUCCAUUUAUAAGCUAUGUGACUUAGGC